RNAcentral lists this long non-coding RNA (2047 nucleotides) under Homo sapiens (human). RNAcentral describes it as "HSALNT0303978". Lineage: Eukaryota; Metazoa; Chordata; Mammalia; Primates; Hominidae. The record is from RNAcentral.
CACCUGUGUGAGAUAGUUUCCACUGACUCCUCCUUCUGAUCCACUUCCCAUCCUGCUCUGUCUCAGAAGCUGCCCUCCACAGGCUAACCUCAACUGGUUCUCUUGUCUUCUGGCUUCGGGGUGUAUUCAGCCAAGAGGCACUGGAGGAUAGUUAGAGGUUGGGAUAUUUAUCACCCUGACCUCCACCCUACCCUGCCCCAGUUGGCAGUAGCUGCAUUCUCUAACAAAGGCCAUGGGUCUCAUCAGGCAGCCCCUCUCUCAUGGCUGUAGAAAGAGUUUCAACCUUUUGCUCCUUCAGGUCCAAGAGUGACAAUGCUUCCAGCUGUUGCAAGUCCCCCGAGUUUCCCCACCUCUUCUUGGCUCCCUUAACUAUGCCCACCCCUUUAUAAAUAGUCCCUUCAUUAAGCCCUCCUCACCUACCCCCUUUCAUGAGGCCAUCUGUCUCCUGCUAGGGGGAUGCAGUAUCAAACCCCACCAGUGGUAGGCACACAUUUUUCACACCCAUAUAGGUGCCAGCUGAGACCCAGGAGGGAAUUCCUUAUCCAACAUCCCCCAGCCUGUGAGUGCCAGAGCUAGGAACAGUAUCCCUGGUUGGAUGUGUUUCUCCCCAUACAUACUGCUUCUCAAGGGAGAAAUUGGUCAGUUCUGUUAACAAUGCCCAAGUGUUCAUAUUGUAAUGUCCUCUUAUGAAUCUCUCACUCUUACACUUUCUUCCCCAUCCUAAUCCAUGUUCUGCUGGGCCCCAGAUGUAAAUGGGAUUGUGGCCAGCUCACCUCUUUCCUCCCCUUCCCCAGGACUCCCGGAUGUCAUGCAUCAGCCCUAUGAGAGUCUUGCCUCUUCUUCAACACACCUGUGUUUCACCGCUGUCCUUUGAUCAGGAGUCCUGUCUGGCAAAGGUGCAAAGCCCCCUACAUCUCUUCCUCUCAAAACCUGCUGCCCAACUUUCCCUCUCUUUCCAGAAAUAAUAAUUCCCUCCCUGUCCUCCCACAACUCUACUUAGCACUGGCUUGAAUGGUGACAAGUAGUGUAUGUGUUUCCCUGACUACACUGUGACUGCUUCUAUGAUCACACUGAAUUCCUCUUUGUAUCAUCAGCAUCCCCCACCAAGUCUGACUCAAAUAGGCCCUUCAUAGGGCUACGUUGAGCAAGCUGCAUUCAUUAGGCCAUUAAGAACAUUAAAGCACAAAAGACGUUCUAAUGGGUGACAGAUGAAUGCUCAUCCUGUUCCUGUAAACAUCUGUCCAGGGCCUGAGCUCAGAAGGCAGAAUCCGUCGUGGAGCGUGUCCAACUCCUACCCCAAGAGCAGCCUCCAUGUUUACCCACGGACUGGGCUCACACACAGGCAGGCAGCUCCGAGCUCUGAGCACCUCAGCAUCCUUGGACUCUGAGCUAGCGUGGUCACAUGUCGGGGGGACAGAGUUCCCCAGCCCUUACCCUGCAGUCUUGCUUCUGAUAGGGAAACCUUGAGCUCGUAGUGACUGUGGGGCUGGCUCUCCAGGACAAGCCCCUCCAGUGGAGCCAGGAACCAGGAUGGAAGGUUGGGUUUGGGGGUGGACUGAUGGCCUGGAGUUCACUGCCACCUAUUUUCUUUUCCUCUUUUUCCAUCUCACCCAGAGCUGUGGGAAGAGGCCUUGACAACAGGUGAGAUUUGGGGCACCUGACUGUGACUUCAACCCAGCAGGUGGGGUUGGCCCAAAGCAGUUCCCCAGCUUGUCCUCUCAGGUCCUCUGGACACCCUUCCCCACCACACAUAACCCUGGACCUUCACAGCUCCCACACCACCAUCCACACCUAGGAAAGGACAUCGGACUGGAGGUCAGGGGCCUAGGAUUCAAGUCCCAGCUCUGCCGACAGCUACCAGUGUAUUCUUGGGCAAGUCACUGAACCUCUGUGGGUCCUGAUUCCCUUACCUGUAAGAGAGUGAUAAUCAUAAGGCCCUCUGCAUUGCUCUAAGGAUCAAGAUAAUGCUUGUGAAAGUCUUCACUGUACUCUAAAGUGUGAUUAAUAUAUAUUCUUUAUCCUGGAAUCUCCUAUCUCCUUUGAGUCC